GUUUCAUCGAUAGCUCCUCCAUGUGCCAGGAUGUCGAGAGGCAGGCAGUGUUGGUGCAGAGUGGUGAGGCAGAACCCCGAUGCCUUUCUUGUGGGACAGUGCGGGGAAGAGCUUGCCCUGGCCCAGGCACGAGGAACUUUGUGAACUUCCAACUCAGUUGG
Long non-coding RNA from Lemur catta (Ring-tailed lemur), 161 nucleotides. RefSeq lists it as uncharacterized. The transcript is spliced from 3 exons. The record is from RefSeq and is a predicted model, not a curated record. NCBI's taxonomy places the organism in Eukaryota, Metazoa, Chordata, Mammalia, Primates, Lemuridae.